GCUUUAUCUUAAUUGGAGCUUUCAGGCUCUUAUACGAUUUUGAUGGGAGAUCAGUAGAAAUAAGUCCUCUACUAUUAUAUUAAUCUUACUAGUAUUUCCUAACUUUAUAUGUGUGACUAGCUACUCUAGGGAUAACAGCGCAAUUUCUCCCGAAAGAUGGUAUUGGAGGGGAAGAUUGCGACCUCGAUGUUGGCUUUAGAUACCCUAGAGGCGUAGAAGCUUCU
This 224-nucleotide ribosomal RNA is filed under the name Mytilus galloprovincialis (Mediterranean mussel). RNAcentral's name for it is "partial large subunit ribosomal RNA". The stretch from base 131 to 224 matches the Rfam family "Bacterial large subunit ribosomal RNA", at positions 2473 to 2566 of the family's 2925-position model. Lineage: Eukaryota; Metazoa; Mollusca; Bivalvia; Mytilida; Mytilidae. The record is from RNAcentral.